Molecule: ribosomal RNA, 453 nt
Filed under: uncultured bacterium
Lineage: Bacteria
Description: bacterial SSU rRNA
Rfam family: Bacterial small subunit ribosomal RNA
Source: RNAcentral
UACGGGAGGCAGCAGUGGGGAAUAUUGCACAAUGGGCGAAAGCCUGAUGCAGCUAUGCCGCGUGUAUGAAGAAGGCCUUAGGGUUGUAAAGUACUUUCAUCGGGGAGGAAAAACAAAACUAAUAAUUUUAUUUCUUGACGUUACCCGAAAAAGAAGCACCGGCUAACUCCGUGCCAGCAGCCGCGGUAAUACGGAGGGUGCUAGCGUUAAUCAGAAUUACUGGGCGUAAAGAGCACGUAGGUGGUUUUUUUAAGUCAGAUGUGAAAUCCCUGGGCUUAACCUAGGAACUGCAUUUUGAAACUGAAAUACUAGAGUAUCGUAGAGGGAGGUAGAAUUCUAGGUGUAGCGGUGAAAUGCGUAGAUAUCUGGAGGAAUACCUGUGGCGAAAGCGGCCUCCUAAACGAAUACUGACACUGAGGUGCGAAAGCGUGGGGAGCGAAACAGGGAUUAGAU